AUUGAACGCUGGCGGCAGGCCUAACACAUGCAAGUCGAACGGUAACAGAAAGCAGCUUGCUGCUUUGCUGACGAGUGGCGGACGGGUGAGUAAUGUCUGGGAAACUGCCUGAUGGAGGGGGAUAACUACUGGAAACGGUAGCUAAUACCGCAUAACGUCGCAAGACCAAAGAGGGGGACCUUCGGGCCUCUUGCCAUCGGAUGUGCCCAGAUGGGAUUAGCUAGUAGGUUGGGUAACGGCUCACCUAGGCGACGAUCCCUAGCUGGUCUGAGAGGAUGACCAGCCACACUGGAACUGAGACGCGGUCCAGACUCCUACGGGAGGCAGCAGUGGGGAAUAUUGCACAAUGGGCGCAAGCCUGAUGCAGCCAUGCCGCGUGUAUGAAGAAGGCCUUCGGAUUGUAAAGUACUUUCAGCGGGGAGGAAGGGAGUAAAGUUAAUACCUUUGCUCAUUGACGUUACCCGCAGAAGAAGCACCGGCUAACUCCGUG
This 490-nucleotide ribosomal RNA is filed under the name uncultured bacterium. RNAcentral's name for it is "partial 16S ribosomal RNA". It matches the Rfam family "Bacterial small subunit ribosomal RNA", at positions 30 to 507 of the family's 1533-position model. The record is from RNAcentral.